RNAcentral lists this ribosomal RNA (1234 nucleotides) under Escherichia coli. Its description in RNAcentral is "partial 23S ribosomal RNA". It matches the Rfam family "Bacterial large subunit ribosomal RNA", at positions 1 to 1276 of the family's 2925-position model. The record is from RNAcentral. Lineage: Bacteria; Pseudomonadati; Pseudomonadota; Gammaproteobacteria; Enterobacterales; Enterobacteriaceae.
GGUUAAGCGACUAAGCGUACACGGUGGAUGCCCUGGCAGUCAGAGGCGAUGAAGGACGUGCUAAUCUGCGAUAAGCGUCGGUGAGGUGAUAUGAACCGUUAUAACCGGCGAUUUCCGAAUGGGGAAACCCAGUGUGUUUCGACACACUAUCAUUAACUGAAUCCAUAGGUUAAUGAGGCGAACCGGGGGAACUGAAACAUCUAAGUACCCCGAGGAAAAGAAAUCAACCGAGAUUCCCCCAGUAGCGGCGAGCGAACGGGGAGGAGCCCAGAGCCUGAAUCAGUGUGUGUGUUAGUGGAAGCGUCUGGAAAGGCGCGCGAUACAGGGUGACAGCCCCGUACACAAAAAUGCACAUAUUGUGAGCUCGAUGAGUAGGGCGGGACACGUGGUAUCCUGUCUGAAUAUGGGGGGACCAUCCUCCAAGGCUAAAUACUCCUGACUGACCGAUAGUGAACCAGUACCGUGAGGGAAAGGCGAAAAGAACCCCGGCGAGGGGAGUGAAAAAGAACCUGAAACCGUGUACGUACAAGCAGUGGGAGCCUCUUAAUGGGGUGACUGCGUACCUUUUGUAUAAUGGGUCAGCGACUUAUAUUCUGUAGCAAGGUUAACCGAAUAGGGGAGCCGAAGGGAAACCGAGUCUUAACUGGGCGUUAAGUUGCAGGGUAUAGACCCGAAACCCGGUGAUCUAGCCAUGGGCAGGUUGAAGGUUGGGUAACACUAACUGGAGGACCGAACCGACUAAUGUUGAAAAAUUAGCGGAUGACUUGUGGCUGGGGGUGAAAGGCCAAUCAAACCGGGAGAUAGCUGGUUCUCCCCGAAAGCUAUUUAGGUAGCGCCUCGUGAAUUCAUCUCCGGGGGUAGAGCACUGUUUCGGCAAGGGGGUCAUCCCGACUUACCAACCCGAUGCAAACUGCGAAUACCGGAGAAUGUUAUCACGGGAGACACACGGCGGGUGCUAACGUCCGUCGUGAAGAGGGAAACAACCCAGACCGCCAGCUAAGGUCCCAAAGUCAUGGUUAAGUGGGAAACGAUGUGGGAAGGCCCAGACAGCCAGGAUGUUGGCUUAGAAGCAGCCAUCAUUUAAAGAAAGCGUAAUAGCUCACUGGUCGAGUCGGCCUGCGCGGAAGAUGUAACGGGGCUAAACCAUGCACCGAAGCUGCGGCAGCGACACUAUGUGUUGUUGGGUAGGGGAGCGUUCUGUAAGCCUGUGAAGGUGGCCUGUGAGGGUUGCUGG